GGAUUCCCCUAGUAACGGCGAGUGAAGCGGGAUGAGCUCAAAUUUAAAAUCUGGCUGGUUUACUAGUCCGAAUUGUAGUUUAAAGAAGCGUUUUCGGUGGCAGCCUGGGUAUAAAUCCUUUGGAACAGGGUAUCAUAGAGGGUGAGAAUCCCGUCUUUGACUCAGUGCAUGCUACUAUGUGAUACGUUUUCAAAGAGUCGAGUUGUUUGGGAAUGCAGCUCAAAAUGGGUGGUAAAUUUCAUCUAAAGCUAAAUAUUGGCGAGAGACCGAUAGCGAACAAGUACCGUGAGGGAAAGAUGAAAAGAACUUUGAAAAGAGAGUUAAACAGUGCGUGAAAUUGUUGAAAGGGAAACGCUUGACACCAGUCAUGCGAGCGGAAAAUCAGUCUUUUGCGGUGGGGAGAUGUGUGGGUUCGGACCGCAAGGCCGGCCUGCGCUUCAUCUCUGCCGUAAGUGAUGCACUUUUUCGUUUGCAGGCCAACAUCAGUUUCUUCUGCUGGACAAAACUCUUGAGAAGGUAGCAGCUUAGGCUGUGUUAUAGCUCUUGAGCGAUACAGUGGAGGAGACUGAGGUUUUCGCAGCGCGUGCUCUCGGGCAAGGCUGAUUGGGUGCUAUGGGAUCGUUCGGUGUACAAUGCAUGCAUUUUGCGCCGUGUCUUUUCUAUACUCGCUCAACUCGGCUCUUCCGCGCUUAGGAUGUUGGCUUAAUGGUUUUAAUCGACCCGUCUUGAAACACGGACC
This 739-nucleotide ribosomal RNA is filed under the name Mortierella alpina. Its description in RNAcentral is "eukaryotic LSU rRNA". It matches the Rfam family "Eukaryotic large subunit ribosomal RNA", at positions 72 to 667 of the family's 3401-position model. Lineage: Eukaryota; Fungi; Mortierellomycota; Mortierellomycetes; Mortierellales; Mortierellaceae. The record is from RNAcentral.